GACCGGCGAACACGAGCGAAGUCGGCGUAUACGCACGUCCCAUCGGGAAGGGAAUUUCAGGCGGCACAGUUUGCGCGCCGCGAGUUCUUUCCCCGUGUGUUCACCGCACAGCAAUCCCGUGUACGAUUAUCGUCGGGUAUACGGUCUCACUAGACUGCGUUUCGUCUUUUUCGGAGUCGUGAACGGAGUUCGGUGUCUGUGUUGGCCGGCAACACGUUUUCUGCUUCUGCUGGUGCUGGUGCUGGUGCUGCUGCUGCUGCUGCUCUCUUCGUGCGAGAUCGGGGCUCGUGACGUCAGCGAUUCCCCCUCACCUCGUAAACACCAAACAUGGCCGUCGUACGGAUAUACGCUGGUCGAGUGCGUCCCAAGCUGACGGUGAAAACUAACGUCGAUAGAGCCACCAGAAACUUGUGGAACCGCGAAAGAGUCGUAAAAAGACGUUUCCAAGCCUUGUAAUUACCGGACAGGCUCUGUAUAUGAGAAUGUUCCAAAACUGGAGCGAUCGACUCACAGCGUCUAGCACAUUCUGCGGAUCGAGGCCGACUAGAGCCGAGGUCUGCCGAACUCCCCUUGCAAGCUUAGUGGACUCGCCCGACCCGCUCGAGGUUAGGAGAGGAGGGGGUAACAGUAGAGAAAGAGCACUAAAGGGGGAGGCAGAAGCUCUCAACGGUACGUGCGCCGCGCACGGGAAAGAAAGAGAAGAAGAGUGUGCCUGUGUAUGUGUGAGAGAGAGGGAAAGCAAAAGAAGGAGAGUGUGAUUGAGUGACCGAGGACGAGAAGGGCAGGGAGAAAAGGGAGAGAAGAGCAAGCGCAAUGGAGGUAGAAAAGAGAGACGGCGCGACCAGGAGCGCCGUCCUCGGAACAAGAAAGCUGCCUGCCUGCUGCCUGCCUGCCUUGCCUGCCUGGCUGCCGCCUGCCUGCUAGCCAGCCACCCCAAGUUCCCUUCUAGGUGAUGAUAGUGACAACAGUCAAAGUGAUCGCGCGGUGGUUUUCCUUUGGCGGCGAUUCAUCAAGUUACGCGGCCAGACACCCGGUAGACGAGCACCUACCCACCUGCCGUCCUACCUUCGGCAUACGUCUCGCUCGCUUUCACCGAGCACGACAUGCACCGUUCCGUUUGCGGGAUCCUACUACAGCGACGUGCACCAGGGACGCGCCGCGCUAUUGCACACGCAUCGGGCGCCGACCAACAGUGCAAGAUGCGUUCUAUAAUGCAGUGGAAAGGCGACAAGGCUUCAUGACGGAAGAACACGACGGCCGAAGGGGUUAAAGACUCGUAAAGUCGAGCGAGGAAAGGGCGUCGGACGGGUCAACAUGGCGGAGAACAUAAAUCUCUGGCCGUCGUUCUCGGUGGCGGCCACCACGAGUGCACCAGGGAGUACCUGUGUGGACGCGAGCGAGCGAGAAGGAAGAUACUACCGGAAAGAUGUAGGUAGAAACGUUUGGAACAGGAUUUUUCUGCCAUUUGCCGUUGACUGGAGAUAUUGCGAAAUUCGAAGCCUACAAAACGAUCGAGGUAUAUCACAUUGGUGCGAAGGGUGAAGUCACGAUUUUACGAGGACCACCCGGUAUAUUUCCAGGCCGAUCUGUUCGCGUAAUAUUAUAGUCCGGAAUGACGGCCGAAUUUAUCGAGCAAACGAAGAUCACGUGAAGGAGCGGGGAGAGCGGGGAGGGACGAUUGCGUGCGCCGAUGGAAUUCAGCCAUGGCGCGCAGAAAAAUCAAAUGAAACCGCCGCUUUUAAGUCGAAUUAAAACGAAUGCGCUUAAUUAAAGCGGCCCGGCCGGCGAACCAAGGCAGUUUUAUUGACGGUGUUACUUACGUGUGCCCUCUCAUUAACUUGAGGAAUAUCUACGUUCUCUGUUUUUACUGUAAUUAAUGAUACAUGCUUUAGAGGGUUCGUCGCUCUCCUCGCCACUCUUACGUGCCGCGAUUUCUUUGACCUGCCAGCGAAAUUUUGAAUGGUCGGCACGUGAAUACUACCAACUGGGAAUACUUUGAAUACAUUGUACUUACUUGUAUAACUAUAUCAAAGUUGUUUAUAUUCCUGGUUGUUCGAGUAUCUUGUGGGUUCUAUUCUUUUUUGCACGAGAUACUCGAGUACGUCGAAUACUUUAAAUACAUUACAUGGGCACUUUGAUUACUUGAGAAUCUAAGUUCUGUAAAUGUUUUGAAUUCUUUAUAACUCUUUACGAUACAAACCUGAAUUAAAUUAACAUUCCAUAAUAAUAAGUAUAUAAAUGAACAAUA
Molecule: long non-coding RNA, 2248 nt
Organism: Nomia melanderi (Alkali bee)
Lineage: Eukaryota; Metazoa; Arthropoda; Insecta; Hymenoptera; Halictidae
Source: RefSeq, a predicted model, not a curated record